Long non-coding RNA from Brassica napus (rape), 803 nucleotides. RefSeq lists it as uncharacterized. The record is from RefSeq and is a predicted model, not a curated record. The transcript has 2 exons. NCBI's taxonomy places the organism in Eukaryota, Viridiplantae, Streptophyta, Magnoliopsida, Brassicales, Brassicaceae.
CCCUUUUAUUUUCUUAUUGGAAAAUGAACGAGUCUAAAGCUUUUUCACAUAUUAUAUGAGGAAAACUUGGAUUUUUCUAAAUUAGAUUCGUUUAAAUCGGAACAUAUUAAGAUGAGUUUCUUAAAUUAGAUUUUUGUUAUGUAUAUAUGUAAGAAUACUUUGUAUGUUGUAACAAAUAGAAUAAUUCAUCUCUUUCCUAAUUUUUUAACUCACUAUCAAUCCAUUUCUAUAAUCCAAGAUGAGGAAAUCCGUUCAACUCUUGUCUACGUUCUUAAUCGUCUUCAUUAUUCUCUCACUAAGAACGAUGGCAGAUGCGAAAAAACAGUGUCCAUAUAAAAUUCCAAUUAGUAAAAAGUUAUCAUAUUGUGCUGCAACACUAUGUUUGGCUGAUUGUAAGAAGCAACAUGGAGCUGAUGCUAGUGGUAGUUGUUCCGAAGAAAAGGGAUUUUGUAACUGCGUUGCUAACUGUAAGGGUUCUCGCUAAGUGUUGUGAAUAUAAUAAUAUCCAACCAAAGUUUUAUACUAUAUUUUUACUAAUAAAUAUCUAAAUGUUAAAAUGUUUGUCUCAUAUUUGUGGAUCUAUUUAUAAUAAAUAAUAAUAAGAUAAUUAAAUAAAUACAAAUGUGAUUAACAAGAUUGUACUUUAAAUAAAAUAAAUGAUCACAAUAUUAUUAGAUGUAUCCAAAAAUGUGUAUAUGAUCAAAAACGUUUAAGAGGAGUUUUAAAAGACAGCGAUGAAAUCACAACCAAUAUUUAAAUGUGAUAUCAUCACCUAACAUGUAAAUUUUGUGUACAUUGCAAAA